Molecule: non-coding RNA, 850 nt
Organism: Physcomitrium patens
Lineage: Eukaryota; Viridiplantae; Streptophyta; Bryopsida; Funariales; Funariaceae
Source: RefSeq, a predicted model, not a curated record
CUACGUCUUGGUCCCGGUUAUUGGGUGCAACAAUUGAGGAUGAGGCAGAAAUUAUGGAGCUUCAUCCCUGAUAGGAGUCUGGGCCGCUUUGGACCCCCUCUCUCUUUUCUAUUUUAUUUUUUUACUACGUAUUCUUGGACUGCGGGCACUCCAGGAUGUUUUGUUUUUGUGUUAUUUCCUCUAGGUGUGUAAGAUUGGAGCUGUAGUAUAGGACCAUCGUCUUCGUUCUUCCUUAUUGCACUAUAGCAAGCAGAUAUCACUUCAAAUCGAUGGUCUCUUCGUUUUCUUGUAUAUUGGUGUUGCAAAGAGCAGAGUAGGUUGUUCCAACAGCGGUAACUUGCGACAUUACCAAUUUUUCUAUUAUGCUUCAAAGUAGAUUGUGGUGGUUGAUGCCUUGUGUGGAUCUUUGACUAAGCUUCCGAGCUAGUGAGAGCGUCGCAUUUGGGAGCGCCGUACUAGGGCAGCAUUUUUGAUAUGAUCUCCAAAUUGAACGUAGGAAGUCAAUGCUACAUUAUUCCCUUGUAGUAGUAGUUAACAUGGACACAAACAGUCAUUAUUAAGGAAAAAACAUCAACACCAACGAAUGGUGUGAAGGAGCUUAGAGGAUACUCGGCGAAGCAUGGAGAUCUUGAAGUUGUUGCUGCAACCAGAGCAUUUGAAAUUAGAGAGAGCAAGACGAGAUCAGAGGCCAAGCGGACGAGCAUCUAUAUCCAAACUUGAUCUCAUCAACUUCAACUCUUUUGACUAGUUGGUGGCUAGAGGCAGACUAUCGUCGACUCCUAUGAUUCCUUGGAUUUCAAACCAUUGAAUAAAUCAAAAUAAAAAAUACAAAUCCUUCUUGGCAUUCAAA